Ahaetulla prasina is the source of this 540-nucleotide long non-coding RNA. RefSeq lists it as uncharacterized. The transcript has 3 exons. NCBI's taxonomy places the organism in Eukaryota, Metazoa, Chordata, Lepidosauria, Squamata, Colubridae. The record is from RefSeq and is a predicted model, not a curated record.
GGAUGGUGUGCCCUGGUGCUCUGGGGUGAACGCUGAAAUUCCUGCCAUUUUGGGGGUUCUCAAUAAAUUUUAACUGUUUUGGAGGGAUAGCGAAGAAAGAAGGCACCGGCCGGCGCAAACAGGGAAAUUGCAAAUUCCCUGCAGCACUGGCACCCCCCUUCGACCCAACGACAGGAAAGGCAGCCAUUAGAAGCUGCCAAAGUUGGGACGGCUAUACAAGAAGACUGAGCAGGAGGCGAGAUCAGAACAGAGUAUUGUUAUCGGUCGAGCGAUUGGCCAACUUGCAGGAACCAUUUGGUCCACAGAAAAACCUCUCUCCAUGGAACCAGUCCCCGGUGCCCACAAGAUUGGGGGCCACUGGUCUGUGGCAUUUGAUUAAUAUGAAAACAGCAACGUUUGGAAGUUAAAAGGAAGAAACAGCUGUGAUUACACAUUGCUCCCAGAAGCACGAAGCUGAAGCCUGAAGAUGACGAAUGAGACUUCGUCGAAACGUCGCCAAGACACUUCCAUUUUACGCGGGAGAAAACCCGAAUAACCAAA